RNAcentral lists this ribosomal RNA (796 nucleotides) under uncultured archaeon. RNAcentral describes it as "bacterial SSU rRNA". It matches the Rfam family "Archaeal small subunit ribosomal RNA", at positions 85 to 879 of the family's 1478-position model. The record is from RNAcentral.
ACGGUUCAGUUACACGUGGAUAACCUGCCCUUAGGACCGGCAUAACCCUGGGAAACUGGGGAUAAUUCCGGAUAACCCAUGAAUGCUGGAAUGCUUCGUGGGUAAAAUGGUUUCGACCGCCAAAGGAUGGAUCUGCGGCCUAUCAGGUAGUAGUGGGUGUAGUGUACCUACUAGCCUACGACGGGUACGGGUUGUGAGAGCAAGAGCCCGGAGAUGGAUUCUGAGACAUGAAUCCAGGCCCUACGGGGCGCAGCAGGCGCGAAAACUUUACAAUGCGGGAAACCGCGAUAAGGGGACACUGAGUGCCAGCAUCUUAUGUUGGCUGUCCGCAUGUUUAAAAAGCAUGUGUUAGCAAGGGCUGGGCAAGACCGGUGCCAGCCGCCGCGGUAACACCGGCAGCCCGAGUGGUGAUCACUAUUAUUGGGUCUAAAGGGUCCGUAGCCGGUUUGAUCAGUCUUUUGGGAAAUCUGACAGCUUAACUGUUAGGCUUCCAAAGGAUACUGUCAGACUUGGGACCGGGAGAGGUAAGAGGUACUACAGGGGUAGGAGUGAAAUCUUGUAAUCCCUGUGGGACCACCAGUGGCGAAGGCGUCUUACCAGAACGGGUCCGACGGUGAGGGACGAAAGCUGGGGGCACGAACCGGAUUAGAUACCCGGGUAGUCCCAGCCGUAAACGAUGCUCGCUAGGUGUCAGGAAUGGUGCGACCGUUUCUGGUGCCGUAGGGAAGCCGUGAAGCGAGCCACCUGGGAAGUACGGCCGCAAGGCUGAAACUUAAAGGAAUUGGCGGGGGAGCAC